This 135-nucleotide microRNA precursor is filed under the name Hordeum vulgare. RNAcentral's name for it is "microRNA MIR1122". It matches the Rfam family "MIR1120/MIR1122 microRNA precursor family". Lineage: Eukaryota; Viridiplantae; Streptophyta; Magnoliopsida; Poales; Poaceae. The record is from RNAcentral.
CAACUACUCCCUCUGUCUUAAAAUUCUUGUCUUAGAUUUCUCUAGAUAUGAAUGUAUCUAGUCAUGUUUUAGUAUUUUGAUACAUCCAUUUCUAGACAAACCUAAGACAAGAAUUUUGGGACGGAGGGGUACGAG